AUUUUAGAGUUGUUUUCUUUUCGUUUUCUAAGGAAUGCAUUGGAAGAAUUCUUUAAAACAUUUGUCUAUACACGUAUAGUUUUGUGAACUGCGGAUACAUUUCGUUCAAACUAUCAUACCAUUAUACCACUAUCAUGCGAAAGUAAUAUUUUGUUUUUUCAUCUAUGAAACAUAUAGUAACAAAGGUGGAACACCUUUCCAAGAAUCACAGGGGACCUGUGUCAUGAAUUAAUAUGAGUUUUUAUCAUUCAUUGUAGGUUAAUAUUGUUCAUAUUAUAUCUCCAAUUUCAGGCCAGACAAAUUGAAAUGAUUGUGAUAAAAAUAUAAAUAUAUCUUGAGCUUAAAUAUAGAAGAUUCUUCACAAAAAUUGCGUUACCAAUUUCUCUAUCACACCGGUCCAUUUGACUCGUAGCGCGUAAAAACAGAACUACGCAAAAGGAGUGUAGCUAAAUCUUUGAAACUAUGGGUAUAAGAUGUAUAUCUCGUUUUUACUUUUCUCUAUCUUUAACAAGGUAGUCAUCAAUGAAGUAAAUUUAAGCACCAGACACCAGAUGGAGUGUAGCUAAAUCUUUGAAACUAUGGGUAUAAGAUGUAUAUCUCGUUUUUACUUUUCUCUAUCUUUAACAAGGUAGUCAUCAAUGAAGUAAAUUUAAGCACCAGACACCAGAUGAAGAAAAGAAAACAUUAGAAGUGAAAGAUGUCUUCGUUUAAAUAUAACGCAACAUUUUGUCAUAUCCCCUGCUUUCAAAAUAUAGUCAAAAAUAUUUUCAAUGCUAUUGCAAUGUUACAGAAAAAUAGCAGUUUAUUAUGCAAGUAAGUUUUCUCCCGCAUUUAAGUUUUAGUAGACUGUCAUUUUACCUAGUAUAUCUAUGUGUGGAAAUAUAGAAAAGUAUAUACCUUCUGUAAAAGUAGAGGAAUUGUCUUUUUAAUUUACGCCUCCAUAUGAGUGAAAUAUUCUCGAACGGGACAUUAAACAAUAUUCAUUCAAUCAAUCAAUCAAUCCUUUUUAUACGCCCAUCUUUAGACGGGACGUAUUAUGGUACAGCGAUGUCUAUACGUCUGUUCGUCCGUUCGUCCGUCCGUCCGUUCGGGGUUUUCUCUUUAUAAUUUCAUUUUACUUUCACAUAUCAUGCUGCAACAUGCUGUGUAGCUUCUCUGUGGGUCACUCUAGAUCAUACUGCAAUUUGGAUGCAUUUCGACCUUUUUUCCAGGAGUGUUGCCCCUUUAUUUGGAAAUAAUUAUUAUAUGGAGGGUACAUAAUUUGUCCACCCUACUCCUCCCACAGUUUUCAAGUGAGAGCCUUCUUAUUAUGCCCCCUUCAAAGAAGAGGGGCAUAUUGGUUUGCACCUGUCGGUCGGUCGUUCGGUCGGUCGGUAGACCACAUGUUGUUCGCUCAAUAUCUUAAGAACCAUUCAUUUGAUGAUAAUGAUAUUUCAUAUGUGGGUUGGUUAUGAGUAGAAGAGGACCCCUUUUGUUUUUCAGCUCAAAAGGUCAAAGGUCAAGGGUCAAUCUACUCUGAACAUAGGAAUAUAAUGUCCGCUCAAUAUCUUGAGAAUCUUUUUUUUGAAAAACAUCAAACUUAGCACAUUGGUGCAUUUUAGGAGUAUAUAUGACCCCUAAUGAUUUUGAGGUCAUAUGGUCAAAUGUCAAGGGUCAAACUGGGCAUAGGAAUAUACUAACCAUUCAAUGUCUAGAGAACUCUUUGCUUGACAGACAAAAAGUUGGUACACCAGUACAUCUUCAGACAAAGAUGACCCCUAUUGAAUUUGAGGUCACAUAGUCAAAGUUCAAGGGUCAAACAGGACAUUAGAAUAUAUUGUCCGCUCAAUAUCUUGAGAACCUUUUGCUUGACAGACUUUAAACUUGGUACACUGGUACACCUUCAGAAGAAAAUGACCCCUAUAUAUUUUGAGGUCACAUGUUUAAAGGUCAAGGGUCAAAGUGGACAUUGGAAUAUACUGACCAUUCAAUGUCUAGAGAACCCUUUGCUUGACAGACAUAAAUUUGGUACACCAGUACAUCUUCAGAAGAAUAUGACCCCUAUUGAAUUUGAGGUCACAUGGUCAAAGGUCAAGAGUCAAACAGGACAUUAGAAUAUACUAUCCGUUCAAUAUCUUGAGAACCCUUUGCUUGACAGACAUCAAACUUGGUACACUGGUACAUCUUUAGGAGAAGAUGAUCCCUAUUGAUUUUGAGGUCACAUGUUUAAAGGUCAAGGGUCAACCUGGAUAUUGGAAUAUACUGUCCGCUCAAUAUCUUGAGAACCCUUUGCUUUACAGACAUCAAACUUAGUACAGUGGUGUAUAUUCAGGAGGAGAUGACUCCUAUUGAUUUUGAGGUCAUAUGGUCUAAGGUCAAACUGGACAUAGUAAAAUACUGUAGUAAUAUCUUGAUAACCCUUUUGCUUGACAGACAUCAAACUUAGUACACUGGUACAUCUUCAGGAGAAGAUGACCCAUAUUGAUUUUGAGGUCAAAAGUCAAUUGUUGAACUGGACAUAGUAAUAUAUUGUCUCCUACAUUUUAAGAAUUAUUUGCUUGAUUGACACCAAAGUUGGUACACUGGUACAUCAUACGGAGUAGAUGACCCUUAUUGAUUUUUAGGUCACAUGGUCAAUUCACUCUUGACAUAGGAAGAUAUUGUCUGCUCAAUAUUUUGAAUUAAUGUUACUACUAUCAAUUAAAUGAUGUCCGUGUAGAACCCUUUUCAAUUUUGCACCAUGGGGGGCAUAUGUGCUUUACCAACAUCUCUUGUUUGUGGAGUGUUUGUAUGGGUAUUGAAGAUGUGCAUGCGGGAUGGAUUUUGAUUUUCUACAAUUUUUGAGAAAAUUACAGGUUGUUGAACUUAGUCUAUUUGGAAAUUAAUAUUCUAUGGGGGGUACAUAGUUUGUCCGCCCAACUCCUCCAACAGUUUUCAAGUGAGGACCUUCUUAUUUUGUGGAGUGUUUGUAUAGGUACUGAAGAUGUGCAUCUGGGGAAGGAUUUUGAAUUUCUUCCAUUUUAAAAAAAAUUACAGGUUGUUGAACUUGGUCCAUUUUGAAGAAAUCUAGAUUUUUAAGCUAAGACCCUUUGUUCAUAUGAAAAUUUGUCACAGCCUCAUGAUGGCUGAUAAUACCUGAAGCAAUGUUAUACAAAUUAUAGCACAAGAAAAACACCCCAUGUAAGCAUUUCAGGGGCGUAUUAUGUACCGUUUGUGGUACUCUUGUUAAUUCUAUUUUGCGAUAAAUUGGAUUUGAUACUUGGUUUGCGGCUUGCUUUAAAAUUAGUGAAAAUAUAAUCGUCGUUGCAACCGAUCAAUUUGCGUUGCAUUAGAAAGUCAUGAAAAAAACUAUGUGAAAUGGUUUCUAUUGGUAAAAUGCUUUUGGAUACACAAAAACAAUAUACACAUAUGUAUGAAAUAGCCAGCCUAAACAUAAAGCCUUUAUUGAUAAAUUGUAUAUCAGUUAAGCAAAUUAUCGUAAAACUUAAUUCAUAAACUCGUGUUAGGAAUGCUACUUCGGUAGACGAAAUAAAAAAAACCCAUAUAUACAUCAAAUUCAAAUAUAAAAAUUAUAUGAUAUUUUUUUCGGAAUAGCAUUUUUUUGCCAAUAUCUACUUUUGUCCCUUGAUCCAGAUCGCGGCCGUGGAGUUUUCGAAAAGUGUGCAAGUGAAACCGUGUUUCUGUUUCAAUGAAAACAACGCAGCGAAACCUUGUAUAACGCUUAUCUUGAAAACGUCCUGAUAUCGUCAGAUGAAGAAGAUGCCCUGAAUAUUCUGCUGCAGGAUACAUUUGAUGAUGACCCAAGAGAUCCUGCACUCAGUAUAAACGAACUUGUAAGUUGAUGUAGCAACACACGCCGACUAGAACAAAUAUGUGUUCGAAAAGUCGUUUUUGUUUUGUUGUGUCAUGAAAACAAAAUCACGAUUUGAUACAAUAAUUUGUCGUUCCAUGUAUGAAAAUAUCUAUGUUUUAUGAUGUAUGUAACAAGUAUAAAACACCAAAUCCUUUAUUAAAAGCUGAAUAUAUCUGGCAUCAGUUGAUCUGUCGAAGAUCCUUGAACAUGAAACAUUUUAAGCUUGAGUCAAAAUUUGAGUAUUGCAAUGAAAUGAUUGAGAUGACAAUCAUUCCAAAGUAAAAUUGUUAUUCACUGUUGCUUUAUCUAAUUUCUAAAGUUUCAGUUCAAAAGCAAUGACUAUCUUACAGGUGAUUGGGAUUUUGACUAACGUCUAAGUUUGCUACAUAAUCCCAGGGCAUUCAUUAGUCUGAUUAAAACCACCCCUUCCUCCCUACCUGACGAGUGUAUGGAAAAAAGGAUGGCUUUAGUGUAAGGCAAAGGGAACGUUUUCAAUCAUACUGGGCAGCCAUGGCCGCUGGUGCGAAUUUUAUGUUCCAAGAAUUUUCUUAGAUGAUCAAAAUCCUAUCUUGCUUUGAAUAGAAAACACAAAUUUUUAAGAAAAGACACACUAUACAUGUAAUCGUAAAAAUAUGCUGUAUACAUUUUUAGGAUCAUUCACUUUCCCCAAGACGUACAGUAUUUUCGCUGGACACUGUAGGUUUUAACCUGAAUCAUGUCUCCCAUCUUCCGAUAGGAGACAUUUUUGUACUUUCUGUCUAUCUGUCCGUCCUUCAUUUGUCCGUCUGUCUGUCACCAAAAUAACGCUUCUCCUCCUAUAUGGCUUAUCGAAUAGAUUUGAAACAAUACUUCACUGCUAUUUGCAGAUGUGCAUAUGGUCGGGACUGGAGUAUCCAAUUAUUUUCCUAAACGCUUUAGCGGAUCUAAGAGAAUUGGAGAAUGCUAAAAUAGCUUGCGCUUCUCCUCCUAUAUGGCUUAUCUGAUAGACUUUAAAACUUUUACAAUACUUCAAUGCCAUUUCCUUAAAGUUAUAGUGGAUAUGAGGGUGGAGGUCGCACAAUAGGUUGUAAAAACUUUUUCUAUAUGGCUUAUCCGAGUUCAUAAUGUAUAUGUUCCUGCUCAUGCUUUCUCCUCCAUACCAUGUAGUGCAUUAAGGAGAUGAUGUUUCAUUUGGAACACAACCAAUUUGGGGGAGCUGGGAGACAUUUGUUUUUUGUUUUUGUUUUAAUAAAAAACAAUCUCUAUUUCAUUCUAUAUUUGCAUCCAUGUAUAUGCUAGGCAUCAUGCUGAGGCUAUCAUUUUUAUUAUGCACUUUGCUACACUGACAAUGUACAUGUAUCCUGAAAUUAUUCCAUACGUUUCUAACAAAUUUACUCCCUUACCAAAUAUCAAUUCAAAUAUAGGGCAUAUCUAUCUUUAAAUACAGUUGCCCAGUACUUUCAUACGAAACUGUUCUCUGCUACCAUACAACUUAGGUUGCUUUAAACAUAAACCAAGGAUUCUUAAUUGUAUUUUUUAUCUUUACAAAGGGUAUUGGCAUUCAAUCUUUAGUGGGAAGUUCCAUUGUAUCUUCCACUAGUGAUAAUCCACUGGGAAAUACAUAUUUGCAUUGGAAGGAUACUGAUAUGGAGGGUACAUGGGAAACGGAUCCCGGAAUACUGAUACUUCAUUCGAAGUUACAACCUGACAUUGAGUUGAUUUUGGGCCCGAAUGUUCUGAUUUGACGGAGGCGUUGGUUUUCUCUAUUUGUGUUGCCACCGGUCAUUAUGCUGGCAUAGUCAUAUCUAGGGGGCAGGGUUGUCAUAUGCUUCCCAAGGAAGUUAGCAGCCUCUCACUGGAGAGGAACUGUACAGGUCUUUGAGUAUUGUCUGUCUGCUGUGAAGUUCCAGUCGAUAUACAAUUAUUGUGGUCAACUUAUGUCCCUACUGGAACAACCCAUGACCAAAAUUAUGUAUAGAAAUAAGUGUUAAGAAUUUAAUAUGAAAAGAACAUGUUUCUAAAAUAUGAUGCAAGUACAAUUGAAUUUAGUAAUUGAAAGUGAACACUUGAACAUUCGUAUAGUUUGUACUUGGAAAGGAAUACUUUUUGAUAAUAUUUGUAAUAGUGUUGGUGCUUAGCAACCAAGUGAAAGGUGAGAUAACGAACAGUGAUCAAUCUCAUAACUCUUAUAAGCAAUACAAAGUAGAGAGUUGAACAAACACGGACUCCUGGAUAUACCAGGUUGGAUCAGGUGCCCAGGAGGAGUAAGCACCCCUGUCGACCGGUCUAACCCGCUCUGAGCCAUAUUAUCUUGAUCAGGUAAAUGGAGUUUUCCGUAGUCAAAACCAAAUAUAUUCUAAUACAAAAUUUAGACUAUCUUAGAUUAACAGUAAACACCUUUCUUUUGAUAUUGCAUUAUUUGUUCUAUUUAGUAUUUAGCAGAACAUCAUAUUGUUUGAAAUUGAAAUAGGAAUUUUCACUUGAUGAUUUUUACCCUAAUUCUUAUAUUAUAUCUAUCAUAGCUUAUGUUAAAAAUCUUUGACGAUCAAGAUAUAUCUAAAGAUUAUAUUUUAAAAUCGAGCUACAGUUAUAUAAUUAUGUUUAGAUUGUGUCGAAUGCGGAUUACGGUCAAAAUUGUAGUAAGUGUUGUUAUUUAGCAACCAAGGCAUUUAUUUGUCAAUAUGAUUGAUUCAAUUUAUUGUGAUGUUUUUGUAGUAUUUGAAAAGACGCAAAAACUAAAAACGGUAUAAAACCGAAAACAAUCAAUCAAUCAAUCAAUACAUUUAGAAUUUCUUAUUCUAAUCCAUUGAUUGUAUAUAUCUUGUUUAAUGUCUCUCUCGAGAGUUUUUCACUCAUACGAAGACGUCACCAAGACUUGUGAAAGGCUUCAAAUUUAGGCCUUUGCUCGGCGCUUAUGACAAUUGAGCAAUGGGGGUUCUUUAACGUGCCACAUCUACUGUGACGCGGGACAUCCGUUUUAAGGUCAUCUUCGAGGACCCAUGACAUUUGCACCUGAUGCCGAGCGUUUGGCGAUGGAACUGUCAUUACCAGUUUUAAUGACUUAGGUCUAGAGUCCAUUACGACAUAUUCUAAUCCAAUGAGAGGGGUCUUAAUACACGGCGGGUGUGACCGGUCAACAGGGGAUGCUUGCUCCUCCUAGGCGCCUGAUCCCACCUCUGGUGUGUCCAGGGGUCCGUGUUUGCCCAACUAUCUAUUUUGUAUUGCUUAUAGGGGUUAUGAGAUUGAUCACUGUUCGUUAUAUUCACCUUGCAUAUAUAUAUAUAUAUAUAUAUAUAUAUAUAUAUAUAUAUAUAUAUAUAUAUCAAUGAAUAUGAAUGAAUCAAUGAAUAUUGAUAUAUAUAUAUAUAUAUAUAUAUAUAUAUAUAUCAAUGAAAAGCAUCCACUUAUUUGACCUUAGACCCCGUAUACCUCUUUGUGUAACGUCCCUCUCAAGAUUAUUUCAUUCAUAUGGAGACGUAGCCAUUGCUGGUGAAGGGCUGCAGAAUUUAAGCCUACGGUCGGCAUUUAUGGCCAUAGAUCAGAAAGGGAUCUUUAUCGUGUCACACCUGCUAUGACACGGGACCUAGAUGUUUCGGGGUUUGCGAUCUCAUCCAAAGGACCACCUCCUCUAGUCGCCUCUUACGACAAGCAAGGGGGCACUGAGGACCCAUUCUAACCCGGAUUCCCAUGGGAUAAUAAAAUCAUAUGCCAUAUGCCUACCCCAAAUUGAGGCAUAUAUAGAUUUAAAUUGAUUAAAAGAUAUUGUCAUUUUGUUUCUAAAUACCACUAACAUUUGCUGGUAGAGAUACAGUUAAGGCAAGUACCUCCUCAGCUUUUGAGCACAACUCCUGGAUGGUUUGACUAUGUAGAUAAUGAUCCAAUAAUUAUUUUAUUUGCCCAAAUACUUAACCAAAGGAGUUGAAAAUAUGUCGAUUCAAAUUUUGAAUGAUUUGGAAAGGACUGAAUUUUGCGACGAAAACAUUCUUUCAUCAAAAAGAUAUGUAAGAUUUCACAGAUGUUGUUUGAUCCAAUACAUUGCCAAUAAUUAUACAUGUACCCCUAGACGUAUAUUCCAUUUUCUUUAAUUUAUGAUACAAGUAGUAGAGACUUGAAAUUAGAUACGACGUUGUAAAUUUAUUACUUUUCUUCAUUGUUUUUCAAGACAACGCCGAUAAUUAAAAGCAUAUAUGAUAAUUUACGCGAAAUAUUUAUGAAAACUCUGUAUUUUUGCCAAUAAUUAAAAGCAAUUUAUCUAUACCACACAUCUUCGUUCAUAAAUUUGAAGACUUUGUGAUUUAUAUUCAAUAAAGAAUUACAAUAUGUGUACUCCUAAUGUGUUCUCUUGAGCUUUUAAAAUCUGUAUAUUUAUUUUAUCCAUGUAUUAAGUGCAAAAGGUCACCAUUUAUUUCCAGUUACAAUCUACUAGUGUUAAACUUCGUUACAUGGAAAACACGAAGGGAUAUUUGAAGGAUGAAUGGUUGAGUUAUUUAUGUUGUGUUGAAAACUUGAAACCACCAGAUAUAUCAAGUUAAUCUUAAUAACUCUAGCAUAGAGUUUAAGUACCGAAAGUCAAGCUUUACAAACUCUAGCUCAGAAACAAGCCCUAGAACCCCAUUUUCUCUUUUGAAUUUCAUAAUUUUCGUUCAACGUAGAAAAGAAUCUGCUUCCAAAAUUACCAAUACCACAGACUCUUGUGCAAACUCCUUUAAGGAUGGUCUUUGUCAUCAUUCAGAGAAAUUGAAAGAUAUUCACCUUUUUACAUAUAUUUUCUCCAGUUAAAACAUGUGAAUCAUGAAACCACAUUACUCUUUCUUACUUGCAUUUGUAUCAUUUUAUCCUUAAAUGGGUCUGGUUAACUUUAUGUAUAGGGGGCUAUAUAUUCAACGCAAUCAACAUCGUAGGAAAAUAUCAAUUUGAAAAAGACAAAUACGAAAAUAUUGAUUUUUGUCUCAAGUAGCACAAAUCACAACAAGAAAAUACUUUCAAGACUAUGGGAAUAAGAAACAAAGUGUAGUAAUGGUUCAUGAUAUUGUGAACUUACUACCUCUCUUGUGGUCCUAUGAUAUCUUCUGACCCUAACAUUUUUAAAGACAAAAAUCAGCGUAUUUCUUUUCUUUUAUGAUACUAUACCCUUACUUUUGUUUAUGUCGAUAAGCACUUCAUUACUGCAGUGUUAUGUUUGUUAACGUCCCUUCAACAAUUUGUCACUCAUAUUGAGACAUCACUAACUGUAAAUGAAGUAUCACAAAUUUAGACCUACAUGUACACUGUAUGCUUAGCGCACAGGGUCGUAGCGCUGAGGGUUGUUUAACGUGCCAACGCCUGCUGUGACACGAGACCAACGUUUUUAAGGUCAUAUCCGAAAAAAGCCUGUGAUUCUCAUGCUCAAAUAUCGAUAGGUUGGCGAAGGAGUAAUCACUACGCAUGUUGACGUUUUAGAUUUGAUGUGGUAAUAAUACGAGUGUGGCUUGAACUCAAGACCUCCCGGUUACAAAGCGCACGUUUUACCCCUGAACUACUGCGACCGGUCUGUUCUCAUUUGAAAACAUCCAAAAGGUACAUGUAUAGGUAGUAGAAAUAUGACAUAAAUAACGCUCAAUGUGAACGUGCAAUUGAUCUACGUCCGUCGUCGUGCGUUUGAACAUUUUUAACUUCUUGAUACCUACCAUCCCUAUCAUUUCCGUAUUUGAUUUAAUGCAUCUUUGGGGAAAGGGAAUAUUUUUCGUCAGGACACCUGCACUCCCAUGGUCUAAGGGUCGGGAUAAACACUGUCAAUUUUUUUUUUUACAAUUUUCAAAAUCUUCUCUACAACCGAUUAUCAAAAUAUGAAAAUUAUACCAUUUUUCUAUUUUGUGUAUAAUAAUUCUAUUAGAAUUAACCAACGCGGUGGUCUAGAGGUAGAGCGUUCGCCCUGCAUGCGGAAGGUCGGAGUUUUAAUCCCGACCGCGACAUACAUAAGUCGUUAAAACAGGUAGUUGCAGUUACAUCACCAAACGCUCGGCAUCAUGUAUGAACGUAACUAGUUGCAAUAAUGUAGCCUUAUCCGAUUUUUUUAAAUUCUGACAUUUUCGGGAUAGGGCUACAAUUCCACAGGAUCUCCGUUAUGGUGCGAAUUUGUUUUAUGAAUAACCGAUAAUAAGCUCCGUGUAUUAGUCCAAAAUGUUGUUUACACCAAUAUGAGUACCCACUUUGUGCUUGGGCAUGUCUAAUAAAGGUGUUUUUCAUUAAACAUCAAGUACAGCAUGCGAAAUUCUUCGUCAGCUCCGUCAUGCCUCUUAUCGCGAGAUCUCGUAGGUGGAUCUACUGAAAAACCUAAACAUUGACAAUGUGCGUAUAGUUAUCGGAGUCACUCCGACAAAGAAAGGAAAAGCAUAUGGUUGCACUCUGCUGUUCGUCUUUUAACUUGAUAUUAAAUUUAAACCUUUUAAUACCGACGAAAUAGCCUUUUCCUCAGUACUUGCCCAUUGAUGUAAAUACUACCUUAUAUGGCAUAUGCAAAUAACAUGACAAUCGGAAGUUGAAACUUCAGUACAUCAAACAUGGCGCACAUAUAUAAAUCGAGAAAUUGGAAUAUUUCAAAAUUGUUGAAAACGGUAGAAUAGAGCCUCACAAAUCGUAAGUUGCAGGUAUAUUGACUAAGAAACAAAGGUAUAUAAUUUUAUUUACGUAAAGAAAGUUAGCAAAUGUUUAGAAUUAUCGAAAA
Ostrea edulis (European flat oyster) is the source of this 10514-nucleotide long non-coding RNA. RefSeq lists it as uncharacterized. Lineage: Eukaryota; Metazoa; Mollusca; Bivalvia; Ostreida; Ostreidae. The record is from RefSeq and is a predicted model, not a curated record. The transcript is spliced from 3 exons.